AACGGCGAAGUGAAGCGGUAACAGCUCAAAUUUGAAAUCUGGCCUCACGGCCCGAGUUGUAAUUUGUAGAGGAUGCUUCGAGCAUGGUCCGGCCUAAGUUCCUUGGAACAGGACGUCAUAGAGGGUGAGAAUCCCGUAUGCGGCCGGGUGCCUACGCUUAUGUGAAGCUCCUUCGACGAGUCGAGUUGUUUGGGAAUGCAGCUCAAAAUGGGUGGUAAAUUUCAUCUAAAGCUAAAUAUUGGCCAGAGACCGAUAGCGCACAAGUAGAGUGAUCGAAAGAUGAAAAGCACUUUGGAAAGAGAGUUAAACAGUACGUGAAAUUGUUGAAAGGGAAGCGCUUGCGACCAGACUUGCGUGCGGCCGAUCAUCCGGUGUUCUCACCGGUGCACUCGGCCGCGCUCAGGCCAGCAUCGGUUUCGGCGGCUGGAUAAAGGCCCUAGGAAUGUGGCUCCUCUCGGGGAGUGUUAUAGCCUAGGGUGCAAUGCAGCCCGCUGGGACCGAGGACCGCGCUUCGGCUAGGAUGCUGGCGUAAUGGUCGUAAGCGGCCCGUCUUGAAACACGGACCAAGGAGUCUAACAUCUAUGCGAGUGUUUGGGUGUCAAACCCAUACGCGUAAUGAAAGUGAACGGAGGUGAGAACCCUUAAGGGUGCAUCAUCGACCGAUCCUGAUGUCUUCGGAAGGAUUUGAGUAAGAGCAUAGCUGUUGGGACCCGAAAGAUGGUGAACUAUGCCUGAAUAGGGUGAAGCCAGAGGAAACUCUGGUGGAGGCUCGCAGCGGUUCUGACGUGCAAAUCGAUUCGUCAAAUUU
RNAcentral lists this ribosomal RNA (808 nucleotides) under [Chrysosporium] pseudomerdarium. RNAcentral describes it as "eukaryotic LSU rRNA". It matches the Rfam family "Eukaryotic large subunit ribosomal RNA", at positions 85 to 912 of the family's 3401-position model. Lineage: Eukaryota; Fungi; Ascomycota; Leotiomycetes; Thelebolales; Pseudeurotiaceae. The record is from RNAcentral.